AAUCCAUGGUGUGGGCACUUCUAAAUUAACGUCAUAAAAUGCUUUCAUGCUUCGUGAAAGCUUUCCCUUUCUAACUGUUUGAACAUAAAAAUAUCCUUUCUUAAUU
Molecule: non-coding RNA, 106 nt
Organism: Gossypium hirsutum (cotton)
Lineage: Eukaryota; Viridiplantae; Streptophyta; Magnoliopsida; Malvales; Malvaceae
Source: Rfam